AUACGGAGGGUGCGAGCGUUACUCGGAAUCACUGGGCGUAAAGCGCGCGCAGGCGGGCUGAUAAGUUGGAUGUGAAAGCCUACGGCUCAACCGUAGAACUGCAUCCAAAACUGUCAGUCUAGAGUCUGGGAGGGGAAGAUGGAAUUAGUUGUGUAGGGGUAAAAUCCGUAGAGAUAACUAGGAAUACCAAAAGCGAAGGCGAUCUUCUGGAACAGUACUGACGCUGAGGCGCGAAAGCGUGGGGAGCAAACAGGAUUAGAUACCCUAGUAGUCC
RNAcentral lists this ribosomal RNA (274 nucleotides) under uncultured bacterium. RNAcentral's name for it is "partial 16S ribosomal RNA". It matches the Rfam family "Bacterial small subunit ribosomal RNA", at positions 523 to 796 of the family's 1533-position model. The record is from RNAcentral.